CCCAUCUAAGGAAGGCGCAGGCGCGUAAAUACCCAUCCUAAUACGGGGAGGUAGUGACAAGAAAUAACAAUACGGGGCCUUUGGUCUUGUAAUUGGAAUGAGUACAAUCUAAAUCCCUUAACGAGGAUCAAUUGGAGGGCAAGUCUGGUGCCAGCAGCCGCGGUAAUUCCAGCUCCAGUAGCGUAUAUUAAUGUUGUUGCAGUUAAAAAGCUCGUAGUUGGAUUUCUGACAGGAGUGACCGGUCCGAGCCUCACGGUUCGUGUACUUGUGUUGUCUCUAGUCAUCCUUAUGGAGAUGGUGUUGGGCAUUUAGUUGUCCGAUAUUAAAUCCAUAUCGUUUACUGUGAAAAAAUUAGAGUGUUUAAAGCAGGCAAUCGCUGUGAAUACAUUAGCAUGGAAUAAUAAGAUAGGACUUUGGUACUAUUUUGUUGGUUUGCAUACCAAGGUAAUGAUUAAGAGGGACAGUUGGGGGUAUUCGUAUUUUAAUUGUCAGAGGGGGAAAUUCUUGGGAUUU
Molecule: ribosomal RNA, 513 nt
Filed under: uncultured marine stramenopile
Lineage: Eukaryota
Description: SSU rRNA
Rfam family: Eukaryotic small subunit ribosomal RNA
Source: RNAcentral